UAUUAAAUAAAAUGAAAUUAUCAUUAAAACUAUUUUUAUGCGUACAGUCGUUUUGAUAAAUGUGAAUGUUAUGUAUAAUUAAUAUUAAACAUUUUAUUUACAAACUAAAUUUGGAUGGCAUCGACUAUUACACAUUUGGCCUGAUUUUCCACAGGCAUAUCUAUCAAAUUCACAUCUGUUUUUACCACAAUAUCAACAUUUAAAAAAACCCUUGUCCUCCAUAUCAAAUCAGAUUUUACGGCACGUCUCAGAGAAAUAGAGUUUUUAGCACAAACAUCUGAAGGUACAAAUUGUACCAAUGAAAGGAAAUCAGCAACCUCAAACUGAUUUCUUGUAUUAAAGAUCUGAGCAGGAUUCCAUGCUAUAUAGCAAGGCGAUAUCCUUCUUCAGUCUUUUCGUGCGACUAUUGACCAUUAGUUUUUUGGGAUCUCCCUUUCCUGGAACCACUAGUGUAAUUGGUUUGAGAUAUCAUUUUUGAAGCUUUUAAUUAUUGAUAAUCCCUGAAAUCAUAUUAGGGAAUUUGUAGAAUAAUAAUUAAAAUUAUCAGUGAUUAUAUAAAAUCACUGGUUAUUUUCAGGGAAUCUAUAUAAUCACUCAUGAUUUUAGUGAUUCUACAUAAACCCUGAAAAAUCAGGGAUUCUACAUAAUCCC
Molecule: long non-coding RNA, 651 nt
Filed under: Mytilus galloprovincialis (Mediterranean mussel)
Lineage: Eukaryota; Metazoa; Mollusca; Bivalvia; Mytilida; Mytilidae
Source: RNAcentral